Molecule: ribosomal RNA, 321 nt
Filed under: Triticum aestivum (bread wheat)
Lineage: Eukaryota; Viridiplantae; Streptophyta; Magnoliopsida; Poales; Poaceae
Description: partial small subunit ribosomal RNA
Source: RNAcentral
AUGGAGAUUUGUGGCGUGAAGGAUGUGGCCAUCAAUAGACCGACCCUCGUCUCGAGGUUCGCCAUACAUCAAGUGGUAUCAGAGAUCGGCGUUUCUCACGGCACUUUAGAGGAGAUAGCCGGCGUGCCGUCACCAUGGAGCUACUGGAGGCUCCCCGGUGAUUUUUUGCUGGAGGAGAAAGGUUAUGGUGCUGAACUUUUUCACACCUGCCGUAAAGUGGGAGAGAAAGUUUGCGCCACAACGACCGUCCAUGACGGUUCAAUCAACACUAUUGUCAUCGACAUGGUGGAGAAACUGCAACUAUCGAUGACACCACAAUAA